GGGGUUUUAGCUCAUACGGUAGAGCAUGGGCUUUGCAAGUCUGGGGCGGCUGGUUCGAGUCCAGUAAACUCCA
This 73-nucleotide transfer RNA is filed under the name Geodia neptuni. Its description in RNAcentral is "tRNA-Ala". It matches the Rfam family "tRNA". From Rfam's summary of the family: Transfer RNA (tRNA) molecules are approximately 80 nucleotides in length. Their secondary structure includes four short double-helical elements and three loops (D, anti-codon, and T loops). The record is from RNAcentral. Lineage: Eukaryota; Metazoa; Porifera; Demospongiae; Tetractinellida; Geodiidae.